UUCAUUAUUUUUGUGACAUUAUUUUACCAACAAAAGAACUUAACCAAAUUUUGGAGAGAAAAGCCCUCUUCUUGAUUCAUUUUUGGAUUUUGAAGAAUGAAUUAGUUUGUGGGUGGAUUUGAAUGGGGUUUACUGUGCAUUAGAGUAGGAAUUGGCAGGUCUUCAAUGAUAUCCAAGAAUUGUACAAAUUUGUUUGGUAUGUUGGGAGUUCUUUGCAUUUUCAUUUUGAAGAAAAAUGAGGAAUAAAAUGAUGUUGUGGUGGAAGCUUUCCUGUCAUGCCAAUUGUAGAAAGAGAUAUUCAAGGAGGUAACUGAAAGAUUGAAUCGGCAGAAAUGUUGAUGAGCGUAAGGAACGGCAGAGGAAAAGUAGGCGCGCAAUACUUACUGAUCUCUUACUCAAGUGGGCACUAGUGUUGUAGAUACCGCCAUGAUAUGUUAUGACUAUGGUUCGGUUUAGAUCCACAUUAUCAGUGACUUAACUUCGGUUGUUUCCUUUCUUGAAUAAUUAUCCGCCUCUUCUCAUCGGUGUGAUCUGUGUUGUAGGAAGUAGUUGUUUUCUUUUAAAUAAAGGUCUUUAUCUCUUUUCAUAGGUUAGAAAGAAAAGAGAAGAAACAAAGAAGAGGAUUUUUAGAAAUAAAGUUACAAGUGUUUUGGGUUUC
Cryptomeria japonica (Japanese cedar) is the source of this 658-nucleotide long non-coding RNA. RefSeq lists it as uncharacterized. The record is from RefSeq and is a predicted model, not a curated record. The transcript is spliced from 2 exons. NCBI's taxonomy places the organism in Eukaryota, Viridiplantae, Streptophyta, Pinopsida, Cupressales, Cupressaceae.